Molecule: ribosomal RNA, 301 nt
Filed under: uncultured bacterium
Lineage: Bacteria
Description: partial 16S ribosomal RNA
Rfam family: Bacterial small subunit ribosomal RNA
Source: RNAcentral
CAGUAGCCGCGGUAAUACGAAGGGGGCUAGCGUUGUUCGUAAUUACUGGGCGUAAAGCGCACGUAGGCGGACAUUUAAGUCAGGGGUGAAAUCCCGGGGCUCAACCCCGGAACUGCCUUUGAUACUGGGUGUCUAGAGUAUGGAAGAGGUGAGUGGAAUUCCGAGUGUAGAGGUGAAAUUCGUAGAUAUUCGGAGGAACACCAGUGGCGAAGGCGACUGACUGGACAAGUAUUGACGCUGAGGUGCGAAAGCGUGGGGAGCAAACAGGAUUAGAUACCCCGGUAGUCCCUGUCUCUUAUAC